CCUACGGGAGGCAGCAGUGAGGAAUAUUGGUCAAUGGACGCAAGUCUGAACCAGCCAUGCCGCGUGCAGGAAGACGGCUCUAUGAGUUGUACACUGCUUUUGUACGAGGGUAAACGCAGAUACGCGUAUCUCUCUGAAAGUAUCGUACGAAUAAGGAUCGGCUAACUCCGUGCCAGCAGUCGCGGUACUACGGAGGAUACAAGCGUUAUCCUGAUUUAUUGGGUUUAAAGGGUGCGUAGGCGGUCGGUUAAGUUAGAGGUGAAAUCCAGAGGCUCAACUUCGGAAUUGCAUCUGAUACUGUUCGGCUAGAGAGUAGUAGCGGUAUGCGGAAUGUAUGGUGUAGCGGUGAAAUGCUUAGAGAUCAUACAGAACACCGAUUGCGAAGGCAGCCUACCAAGCUACUGCUGACGUUGAGGCACGAAAGCGUGGGGAGCAAACAGGAUUAGAUACCCGUGUAGUC
This 460-nucleotide ribosomal RNA is filed under the name uncultured bacterium. RNAcentral's name for it is "partial 16S ribosomal RNA". It matches the Rfam family "Bacterial small subunit ribosomal RNA", at positions 338 to 795 of the family's 1533-position model. The record is from RNAcentral.